GGUUCUGUAGGUGAACCUGCGGAUGGAUCAUUA
Molecule: ribosomal RNA, 33 nt
Filed under: Cyclina sinensis
Lineage: Eukaryota; Metazoa; Mollusca; Bivalvia; Venerida; Veneridae
Description: partial 18S ribosomal RNA
Source: RNAcentral